GUGCUCACUUGGGCAGCACAUACACUUAAAAUUGGAAGGAUACAGAGAAGGUUCAUGUGACCUCUGUGUGAGUAUGACACAAAUUCAUGGAGCUUUCCAUAUUUAG
Molecule: small nuclear RNA, 106 nt
Filed under: Vulpes vulpes (red fox)
Lineage: Eukaryota; Metazoa; Chordata; Mammalia; Carnivora; Canidae
Source: RNAcentral